This 501-nucleotide ribosomal RNA is filed under the name uncultured bacterium. RNAcentral describes it as "partial 16S ribosomal RNA". It matches the Rfam family "Bacterial small subunit ribosomal RNA", at positions 30 to 523 of the family's 1533-position model. The record is from RNAcentral.
AUUGAACGCUGGCGGCAGGCUUAACACAUGCAAGUCGAGCGGGGGAAGGUAGCUUGCUACUGGACCUAGCGGCGGACGGGUGAGUAAUGCUUAGGAAUCUGCCUAUUAGUGGGGGACAACAUCUCGAAAGGGAUGCUAGUACCGCAUACGUCCUACGGGAGAAAGCAGGGGAUCUUCGGACCUUGCGCUAAUAGAUGAGCCUAAGGCGGAUUAGCUAGUUGGUGGGGUAAAGGCCUACCAAGGCGACGAUCUGUAGCGGGUCUGAGAGGAUGAUCCGCCACACUGGGACUGAGGCACGGCCCAGACUCCUACGGGAGGCAGCAGUGGGGAAUAUUGGUCAAUGGGGGGAACCCUGAUCCAGCCAUGCCGCGUGUGUGAAGAAGGCCUUAUGGUUGUAAAGCACUUUAAGCGAGGAGGAGGCUACUUUAGUUAAUACCUAGAGAUAGUGGACGUUACUCGCAGAAUAAGCACCGGCUAACUCUGUGCCAGCAGCCGCAGUAA